Molecule: long non-coding RNA, 22523 nt
Filed under: Brassica rapa (field mustard)
Lineage: Eukaryota; Viridiplantae; Streptophyta; Magnoliopsida; Brassicales; Brassicaceae
Description: long non-coding RNA (BRAP_LNC003327)
Source: RNAcentral
GGAGGGAGCUGAACUGAUUGAUUCAGUUCUCGACGUUGUUAGAAAGGAAGCUGAGAACUGUGACUGCUUACAAGGUGAGAGAUAAACUGAUUGUCCCUUUCCUCCAUGUUUCUUUCUCGAUCAAGCUUGUCUGGUUUUGAUGCUUGUGUUAUUCAAACGUUUGAUCGAACUAUGUUUUUUUUUUCGGGACAAAUGAUCGAACUAUGUUCGUGAUCGUGAUGAGAAACAUACUCUUAUAAAUUACACAUUAUGAUCACCAAAAUUUAAUAUUUUUAUUAAAAUUUAAGUGUUACAGUCUUCUAAAUCUUUGAAGAGAGAGCGUUGGAUAGCCGAUCCUGAGAUUUAGACAACUAUAACAUUUAAAUUGUAAUAAAAAUAUUAUAUGAUCACCAAAAUAUAAUUUUUUAUUAAGAAAAUUUAAAUGUUAUAGUCGACUAAAUCUUUGAAGAGAGAAAUGGAUAGCCGAUCCUGAGAUUUAAGACUAUAACAUUUAAAUUGUAAUAGAUCACCAUAUUUAAAUGUUAUAGUCCCGACUAAAUUUCACCGAAAAGAGUAAUAGCAUAGCCGACGAGAUUUAAAUUAACUGACUUAAAUUCUGAUAAAAAUAUAAUAUUUUGGUGAUCAUAUUAUAUUUUAGUUUGUAAAAGUUUACCCAAACGAAUGUUGAGUAUUUUCCUAUUGAUUUCGUGAAUUUGAAAACAUUGUAUUUUCAUAGUUACAUGAUUUCUAAAGGUAGUACUGAUUUUCUUGAACAGGGUUCCAAGUUUGCCACUCAUUGGGUGGAGGAACUGGUUCUGGCAUGGGAACGCUUCUCAUCUCCAAGAUCAGAGAAGAGUAUCCAGAUCGUAUGAUGCUCACGUUUUCGGUUUUCCCAUCUCCUAAAGUCUCUGACACAGUCGUGGAGCCAUACAACGCUACUCUCUCUGUUCACCAACUUGUCGAGAACGCCGAUGAAUGCAUGGUUUUGGACAAUGAAGCUCUCUACGACAUCUGCUUCCGCACCCUGAAACUUGCCACUCCAACUUGUAAGUCAUAUCUUCCAUCAAAUGACCUCUAGCAUGCGUCUAAUAUAUUAAAAUGUUAAUUAAUGUUUUUUUUUUGAAACUAAAAAUGUUAAUUAAUGUUAAAGAUGGAAUAUGACGUUACUGACUAUAUAAUAUGACGUUACACAUUCAUUAGUGGUAUUAGUUGGGUUGCUCUCCUGUUCUUGUCUCUUGUAAGAUAAAAAGUAGUCUUAAAUGUUCUCAUGUCUUAUCAUUAAACAAACAUUAACAUAUACUUUGGUUUCUUAACCAUCAAGCUUUAAUUUCUUACAUGUGACACUACACUUGUGUUCUGUUUUGGACAUUUGCAGUUGGAGAUCUAAACCACCUGAUCUCUGCAACCAUGAGCGGCGUAACAUGCUGUCUCCGUUUCCCUGGCCAGCUCAACUCCGACCUCCGCAAGCUCGCGGUCAACCUAAUCCCCUUCCCUCGUCUCCACUUCUUCAUGGUCGGUUUCGCACCUCUCACAUCCCGCGGCUCCCAGCAAUACCGCGCCUUAUCAGUCCCGAGCUCACCCAACAAAUGUGGGACGCCAAGAACAUGAUGUGCGCCGCAGACCCAAGACACGGACGCUACUUAACCGCGUCAGCGAUGUUCCGCGGCAAAAUGAGCACUAAAGAAGUGGACGAGCAGAUGAUCAACGUCCAGAACAAGAACUCUUCUUACUUUGUCGAAUGGAUCCCAAACAAUGUCAAGUCCAGCGUCUGCGACAUUCCUCCCAAGGGUCUCUCGAUGGCGUCGACUUUUGUUGGUAACUCGACUUCGAUCCAGGAGAUGUUUAGGAGGGUGAGCGAGCAGUUCACGGCGAUGUUUAGGAGGAAGGCUUUCUUGCAUUGGUAUACAGGAGAAGGGAUGGAUGAGAUGGAGUUUACUGAAGCGGAGAGCAACAUGAAUGACCUUGUGAUAGAGGGCGGAAGCUACGUUGCGUAAGGGAACGGGGGUUGAUCGAUGAACAACAGGUUCAGACGAUCGAAAGAGAUGAAGAGUACUCCUCUUCUAGCUAUCAAAGCUCUAAAACUCAAUAUUCUUAUUAUCAAAAGCGUGUCUUACAACGAAGUCGUAAUCAACUUAUAAAUAAAGCCAAAUAAUAACUGAAAACUAACUAGAUGUUUAUCUCUAAUAAAACAUGCUUAUCUCAAAUAAAACCAACACCAAAACCGUAAAGGAUAACUAAACCCAAGAGUGGCUUAAGGCCCAAGAAACAAGAGAUGCGCUGCAUCACCUUGUGGCUGAGUAUCAGCAGUAUCAGGAUGCUACAGCGGAUGAGGAGGAGUAUGAAGAGGAAGAGGAAGAGCUCGAGGCUUGAGAUCUUUAGAUCGUUAAGUUUGUUUUCGUAUUUCGCUAUUGAUCUUUAUUGUUUUGGGUGUAAAUUGUAAUGAAAACUAAUUUGUGGGUGAAUCUGUAAAACAGAAGAUGAGGUUUUGCCGUUUUGGUCCUGAUCUUUCUUGUUUCGGUUUAUAUAUAUUGUUAAGGUUUGGUUUUAAGCUCUGUUUUACCCAACACUUCUGAGUUCUCACCAUGGAAGCAUUCAACCGUGGGUUCAACAAGACGCCGAGAAACAUCAAUGGUCGAGUUAAAUCUACAUUUUCCCGUGUCUUUGAUUGAUCCAUAUAUUUUGAUGGAUUAAGUUAUGCUUUGUUAGAAUGAAUUAAGUUAUUAUCAACUAGUAAAAACCACAUUACAUUAGGACUAAUGAAUUUAGUUUUCUAGUUACUAGAUGAAUUAUAGAUCAUGUUUUAAGCAAAUAUAGUAUGCGUUAUUUACACAAUUCAAAAGUAGUUUUCUCUCCUCAACCAUUCGGUGUGGCUAAAUCUAAAUAUCAAUUCAAUAUUCUUUGAGAGACUUUAUUUCGAAGCAAUGAAUAAAAGAAGGGUCUUAAAUAAACUUACAGAAAAUAAAUCCAAAAAUGUACAAAAUUAUAAACUAAAAGGACUACAUGAACAAAUAGAAUAAGAUUGAGAAGUUAUAAAGCUCUGGCCGACAGACACAAAUAUUUCUCUUCCCAGCCUCCCCUCCGUCUCUUCCCACUCUCAGCCUAGCAGGUGAAGUUCCCUUAGCUUUUGAGUUUCGUGUAUCUACGUUGGUUUGUUGUCGGAAAAGCUAUAAUCAAUUGGAGAUUUUAGGUUUAGUAAAGGUGAAACCUUUUAUAGUCUGACGGAUUCUUAUCUAGGGUUGUUUUAGGAAUUUGAAAAUUUUCACGGUGAAACCUCUCUGUAGACUGUGUCUGAAUGUUUCUCGUUCCAUAGUUGAUGUGGGAAGUUAAGAAAGUUUUGAUCUUUUUUAGUUCUCUGUUUACUGCAUCAUCGUGUAGAAAGUUAAUAGAGAAAGGUAUGUCCUUUUGAUAUUGAGUAGGUACUGUAAAAAGAUAAUAUUGGCCAAGUAGCAGCGCAGAGGAUGGGAGCAGCAGAGACUCUAACUGAUCCCUCAAGCCUAUGUGAGUCUAACUAUAUGGGCAACGGUGAUUUGUCUGACACGGAUAUGGUGAUUACCGUGAGAAACACCCUUGCUUCUGUCCAAAACGUGAGUGUGUAUGCUUCUUUCUUGUGCUUAUGUGUUUUUACAUAUGUUGAUGCUAUUUUGUGUUUUAUGCUUUUAGGGGGAAUGUUACCGUUACGAUGAGCUUGUUAAAACUAUGCAAGCUACCAAAAACUCUGAUCUUGAAGCACAGCUUGUGGUGGUGUUCCUUUUUCUUUCAACGAGAGUAUUUUCUUCGUCUUCCCUUUUUUCCUUAAGUGUUUUUUUUUUUUUGGUUUGGCAGACAGCAUUGAAAGCAUUGUCAAGCUCUGUGGCUUACUUAGAUAUCAUUCACCAUGAAAAGCUUCUUUCUUUGGUAAGUUUAUAAGCUUACAGUUGCUUUCUAAUUAAAUUUAGUUUAAGAUAAUUGUAUUAUUAUGUUACAGGUUUUUAGAAUGUCAUUGUGGGAUCUCAAACCUCAUGUCAUGGAUGCUUUGGUGGGUCUACUCAUAUCACUGGUACACAACUCAACACUUACCACCCUCACGCUGGACUUUUUUAUUUAACAUGUAUGAGGAGGUAGCCAAGUUUUUGUUUUGUCAUCACAGGCUGUCACUACAGGAAAGUAUCUGGACCCUUGUCUGAAUAUGCUCGUACGCCACUUUUUGCCACCGGAUUGGGUGAUUAGAAGACUUUCGCAGCACCGUGUAGUGAAACAGAAGAUGGAAGUUCUUUCUCAUGUUCAUGAAGCCCUUCUGAAAAUCUGUAUUUUGUUUCCUCGUGCUCCCUCGAGAAUAUUAGACAUGCUACCCAAAAUAAACAAAAAGGGCCAAGUGAGUUUUUAUUUUUAUUUGAUUUAGUGGCUAGCUUUUGCUGAAGAAAACAAACAAUGCUACCGUCAUGCAGGUGGUAGAGAUAUUUGUGGAGAACUUAUUAAAGCUGGAGAAUAGUCUAAUGGGACAAGAUGAUGGCAGCAAGAUUUUUAUGAUGGUGAUGGAGAGGCUACGAGAUAUGGAUGUAAGUUACAUAAUAUGUUUUAUUACACAUAAAGCCAUUUAAAUUAAUGAUGUGCUGGUGUGUUCAUUUAGUUGGAGAUUGAUUGGGAUGGUAUUCCACAAGAUGACUCAAGUAGAGGUUUGUUUGAUAUGGAACUUGAAGAUGCAGUUGAAGAUAAUACUAUGAAAGAAGGAGACGAGGUAGGCUCAGUGUUUGUUUUGACUAUAAAGCUAGCCUCUGAAUCUGAUAUAAUAUCUAUUGCAGUUUCAAGUGGGAUCUCUAACAUCGGAUGGAAAUGUAAUUUUUGAGUCUUUGGAUAAAUUGAUGGUCUUAUCUUUUGAUCAUCUUGAAUCCUGUAAACUUGCUGGUCGUUUGGAUCAGGUAUGUCACCAAAUAAUAACUUCCUUUUUUUUUUUUUUUUGAAUGAAUGUUAAAUUUAUUCAAAAAAGCCUUUAUACAACAAGUGCAUGCUGUAUACUAGAAUUAAUCACUAGCUACCUUUUCAAAUAUGAACUGAAGCCUAUUUACAUUCUAGUAUAAAACCAGUAUUGCAUUAAUCUCUCCAUACCCUUAGCCCCACUUCUACUCAUCAACGUGAUCUUGUUGCGUAUCCCUUUAUCAACCAUCCUUUUAAUAACUGACAACUGCAUCUUCUUCUCCCCAUGAAUUACCUUAUUACGCUCUCUCCAAAUUGCAUAGAGCACAAUCUAAAACGCAUAACGAAGGCAAAACCGGCUCAUCUUCUCCCUUUUCUCAUCUGAAAUGAUCGCAAUGAUUCCAGACCAAUCUGUAGUAUAGGAACUACACAAUAUCCCUUUUGUAACAUACUCCCAUACCUGAGACGAGUAUUCACACUGGAAGAACAGAUGGCUUCUCGAUUCAGAGGCAUUUUUACAUAAUACACAUACUGUAUCAAGUCCCCUACUCCAUAUAGCCAUCUUAUCUAACGUUGGCAUUCUAUCUCUGAUAGACACCCACGCCAUAAAAGCAAAUUUAGGAGUAGCAUGAGGAAACCAGAUAGCACGUGCCCAUGAGACUGGAUUCUUACUCUCUCUCAGCAAAUACCAAGUUUCCAUCGUAGAGAAUUUCUGUUUAAAACCAGUUUUACCUCUCCACAGAUUACUAUCCUCCUUCUCAGGCACAAGAUUACUUGCAAUGAUGUGCAGUUCCGCUUCUAUAACAUUUAACACACCUGUGCGAUGUCUUCUUCUCCUUCGAACAGCUAAUACUGCUUCCGCCAGUGUCGCAUCCCUUCUCACACCCAUCUCAAUCACACCUCGCGGACCCAAAACAUCAAACAAAGCUCCUUUAUCUGACCAACUAUCGAACCAAAAGGAAAUAUGUCUUCCAUUACCCACCUCUCUCCUAUAAAACCUCUUAGCCACUUCCCUCAAUUUCAACGUUUUCCUCCAUAUCCAAGAACCUACCUGAGUUGUAGACUUCACCUCCCAAAAAUUUUUCCCUUUAAGUAAGUUUGCUUUGAUCCAUUUACCCCAUAAUGAAUCUCCAGUUAACAGUCUCCAGAUCAGCUUCAGCCCAUUCACUCUAUUUACUUCUCUUAAGUUCCUUAUACCCAAUCCACCUUCAUUCUUAGUGCAACAAACAUCACUCCAUGCUACUUUAGCACUCUUUGUUUUAAGGCUUGGUCCAGUCCAAAGAAAAGCAGCACAGAUUUGCUCCACUUCCUUCACACAAGCACUAGGAAGUCUGAAUACCGCCAACCAAAAGUUUGCAAUACUCAGUAGCACAGAGUUUAUAAGCUGUAAUCUUCCGGCAUAUGACAUAAACCUACACGUCCAUGAGCAUACUUUACUUCUGAUCCUUUCCAACAGCGGAAGCCAAUCUUGCGAUCUCAUACUUUGGGUCAUAAGAGGGAGACCUAAGUAUCGCACUGGUAACUCACCAACCGCAAACGGAAAAUUCGUCAUGAUACUACACUUCUCAACCUCCUCUACACCCGCCAUAUAUAUCGUUGACUUCUCCAGACUAAUCCGUAAUCCUGACCAAACUUCAAACUCUUCAAAAACAGAAAGAGCACCUUCUAUUGACCUCUUUGAACCCUCAACAAAUACCAUUAAAUCGUCAGCGAAGCAAAGGUGCGUUAUAGAGAGACUCUUACAACCCGGAUGGAACUUGAACUUAUUUUCUUCUACUGCUUUGUCAAUCUUCAUAGAUAAAACAUUCAUACAGAGCACAAAAAGAUAUGGUGACAAAGAACAACCUUGACGAAGCCCCCUUGAGCUCUGAAAAUAGCCUGCAAGAUCCCCAUUGACUUGCACUGAAAAAGAAGGGCUUGUAAUACAAAGCUUUAUCCAAUGUAUGUACUUCUCCGGAAAUCCCAAUACACUCAAACUCUUCAGAACAAAAUCCCACUGCACUGAAUCAAAUGCCUUUGAGAUGUCAAUCUUCAUUAAGCACCUAGGAGUAACCGUGUCUUUGUGAUAAUUCUUUACAAGCUCUGAGGCAAGAAGCACGUUUUCCAUGAGAAGCCUACCCUUUACAAACGCAGAUUGAGUCUCAGCAAUGAUUCUUGGCAGCAAAACCUUAAGCCGAUUAGCCAAUAUUUUCGAGACAACCUUGUAAAGAACAUUACAACAUGCUAUCGGACGGUAAUCCUUCAUCUCCAUCGAGUCUAGCUUCUUAGGAACAAGAGCAAGAAUAGUAGAGUUGACUCCUUUUGGUAGAAACCCAAAUCUGAAAACUGACUGCACUGCUAUCACAAAAUCUUGAGAGAUGAUCGACCAAGAGGUUUUAAAGAAUUCGCAGGAAAACCCAUCAGGACCCGGAGAUUUAUAGCUAGGCAUAGCAAAUAGGACCUUUCUAAUCUCUUCUGCAGUAACUUCAGCUUCCAACAGAUUACAAUCAUCCAUAGAGCAUCUGAACUUGAGUAAAUCUUCCAACUCAUCCUCAUUUACUCCCUUAUAAUUCUCCGGAAUCUGAUUAAGAAAAUGAGCAAAGAAAUCCUCUGCCUCCUUCUUAAUUUCUGAAUGCUGAUUCACCACACAUCCAUUCGCACAUCUGAUUUCUCUGAUCAUAUUUUGAGCUUGACGAGAUUUUAUGGCUCUAUGAAAAGUCUUGUUGUUUUUGUCUCCAACGUCAAGCCAGAACAACUUUGCCCUUUGCUUCAAAAAGUCCUCCUCAAGGCUUGCAACAUGUAGCCAUUUACCAUACGUUUCUGCCUCUUCUUUAACCGCCCCUUCACUUGGGUUCACUAAAGUAACAUUCUGCCUCUCACAUAACAAAUCAAAUGCCUCCUUUGCACGCUUUGUUAAAUUUCCCAGCUUCUCUCUACCCAACUCCCUAAUCAACGGUUUUAGACCUUUUAACUUUUUCGAGAAUCUGAACAUAGCAGAUGUUGAAUGAAAAAGUCUCUCAGUAGAAUCCCAAUACGUCUGAACCAUAGGGAGAAAAGAUGGAAUGCUACCAAUUGCGUUUAUAUACUUAAACGGACGCUUGAUCUUCUCACUUGAUGCCAGCAACUGCACCUUACACCUCAUAUGAUCCGAGCAACCUCCAGCUUCAAAUACUGAAUACGCGUUACUGAAUCUUCGCAAUGCCACUUCAUUAAGUAGAACUCUAUCCAGUUUCUUACAGAUUACCCCAUUCUCCCUCUUAUUACACCACGUGUAUUUUGGUCCUUGAUAAGCCAUAUCCGUAAGUUGACAAUGCAGAAUCAAACUCUGAAACUCUCUCAUACCACCAGUAAUCCUACCCAUAUUCUCAAAUCUUGAACUCUCAACCCCAUCCAGUAUUUCAUUGAAGUCACCCAUAAUCAUCCAAGAUUUAUUUCUAAAACUCGGAGAAUCAUGGUGAAAUGCAAGAUCCUCCCAUAAGACCUUCCUCUCCUCCACUUGAUUACUCGCAUAGAUACAAGAUACAUAGAACUCUUCCUCCCCUUCCAUCUCAACCAAACAUGUGAUAAUCUGGUCCGAUUUAUAUACAGGAGACAUACGGACCGAAUCUCUCCAUAAUAACCAAAUUCUACCUCCCUGACUGUCCUCAUAAUUAGUAAUUGAUGACCAAUCCCUGAAUACCUUUUUUAAAAUUUUCUCUGAUUUUCCUUCCUUCACCCUAGUUUCCAGAAUGCAACCAAAUCUCAUCUUCUUAUUCUUCACCCACUCAGAUACGACGAAAUGUUUCAAAUCUUUAUUAAACCCACGAACAUUCCAGAAGAAGCACGCCAUAAUUAGAGUUUUCGUCGAGAAGACCGUUUGCUCUUAGGUUGAGCCUCUUGAGCUUUUGUCUUCUGACCUCUUCUACUCCCUUUUUGCAUAGCUGCCUUAUCUUUUUCUUUUGUAUGUUGACACAAUAUCUCAUCUUCCAACAAUUCCCCUUCUAAAAUAUCCAUGGCUUCAACAUCCAUACUUUCUUCUUCCUCUACCUCCAAUGUUUCUGCAAUUUCUCCUUCCUCUACUUCAUCAACUGAUAAUACAGAAUACUUCGACGCCGAAAUAAGAACUUCCCCAGCAUCUCUCAGCGGAGUUUGAACUCUCCCUACUUUAUCCCCCGAGACAGUUAACCAAUCAUUUCCUUCCUUCCUUACAGUAGCAGAACCAUCAUCCUCCAAAACAGAAUCUGUGCCAGCCUUGAGCUCCAAUCCCAUAACUUGAUCUUCCUUCACUGGACUAGCAUCUAAAAUCUGCACCUCAGCUACUUCCUUUUCUAUCUUCUUUCCUGAUUCAUUCGCAACAACACUCUUUGCUUCCUUUUCCCCUGUCUUAUAAUCUCUUUUCUUCAUACUACAAACCGUCUCAGUAUGUCCCCAUUUCUCACACUGAGCACACCGAGAUGGCAACCAAGGAUAGUAGAAUUCCGCAGUGAACUCUUUACCCCCCAUCAUAAAAUCUAUCUCCUUUGGCAAAUGCUUUGAAACAUCAACCUUUACAAACACUUUCGCCUCUUCAAAAUUUGAACAGGCUAUGGUCUCAGGAUGAAGUCGAACAGGGAAUCCCACUGUGCUUGUCAUAAAGCUAAGAGCCUCCCAUGAGAACGUAUGAAGAGGAAUUUUACGCAGAUGCACCCACAUCGGUAUAGCUUCCUCCUCAGGCGUCUCUUCCUCUGCCUUCGGCGUCCAUUUCUUCACCACCAUUGGAACCCCUGCAAUAUUCCACAUCCCUCUUCUGAUUACUUUCUCCCUAGCCUUCAUACUUGUAAUCUUGAAUCGCAUAGUCUUAGCAUCCACAUCAUAAACCUCCACUUUUGAACUUGAAUCCCCGUAACUCCAGAUCUUAUUCACCACCAUAUGAACCUUGGCUAUAUGAGGCGCGAGAUCUAGAAACUUCCCUACAACAAAUUCCUCCCACAAUGGUGUUGUUUCCGAAAGAAUAUCCUCAGGAAACUCCACCUUAUUCUUCCCAUCCUUCAAAACGAUAUCAACCUCAUAUUUCCUCAAAACCCGUUUAUCCUUCACUUUUGAUGCCCAGCUUGGAAUCCCUUUCUGCAAAACGUCAACCUCCGAAUCCCGAACUACCCCUGUAGCUUCCCCUACCACUUUAACCUCCCGAUCUAUCUCCAGUGGAUCAGAUGAGCUCGGCGAAGCCGCCGAAAUCAUCGCGAAUACCAGUCUCGAAAGUCGCACUCAAAAUCGCCCCAAAAUCGCUUUUAGCAAAACGGUGCGUUUUAAUGAGGAUGAUUAUUAUCCAUAUUAACAACAUUAGAUCAUAGUUUGUUACACUAAUAAUAAUAAUAACUUCCUUGCCUUUACGUGCUCAUGAAUUUAUCAUUGCUGAUCUGUUUUAAAUGCUUUUUGGCUAGGUGUUUGAAAAGCUCUUCGAGGCAUUUGAGCACUACAUUAUGGAUAUACACAAAACAAAAGUUUCGCAGGUAGGCUACACAGCUAUAUCACGGUCCUCACAUGCAGAUGACUCAUGUUUUAGACUCACUUUUUGCAAUUCGUCUGCAGUUUCUGAUGUUCUAUGCAUGUUCACUGGAUCCUGAAAACUGUGGUGUGAAAUUUGCGAUUAAGCUGAUGGACAUUUUCCUCUUCAGCAACAAGCUACCUACAAGGCAAGUUUCACCUUCUCAUUCUAAGGUCAAAAAUUAUCUCAUUCUGACAAACUUGGUCUGUGGUUUUGUUUCUUCCUUUUUUUUAAAUAACAGGAUGAGUGCUAUGGCUUAUCUAGCUAGCUACUUGGCUCGUGGGAAGUUUUUACAUGUUUCCUAUGUGGCUAGCAUAUUAAAAAGGUUUGAAACGAUUCCUAAUACCUCAAAUAUAAAUGUAUGAUCUAACUGAAAACUUAAGUCUGUUGCAACAUUGAUUUAAUUGUGUCUAUUGUCUAAAAUUUUUAGGUUGGUAGAUGAGUGUGCGGAUCACUGUAGAACUUGCAGUGAUGAUAUUAACUCUAAGGCACAUCAGAUUUUCUACUCCGGAUGCCAGGUAUAUACUGCUUUCAAUCCCAAGCUCUACCAGUCACAAAAUUACACAUUGAUCAUUUGCUUAGAUCAUGUUCUGUAAACACAGGCGAUCAUGUAUGUGCUCUGCUUCCGGAUGAGAUCCAUCCUAGCUGUUCCUCGCUUUCGGUCUGAGCUUAUACCAUUGGAGUCAAUUUUAAUGCACAAACUAAACCCGUUAAAGGUGAGUUUUAUAUAUACUCUGAUCCCAUUUGUUUUUUUUUUCACCUAAACUUAACUGUUAAGUAUCAAACGCAUGAUAAUAAGCUUUGCAACCGAUUUUGUUUUUGAGAAUAGGAAUGCCUUCCAUGGGUAGUUGCAGAGUUCCUUAAACAAGCUAAAGCAGGUGGUCUGUUUGUCGUCUCAGACUCCUUCAUUUUCGAUAAGCUACUUGAGUCUGAGCUCUCCCGUGGGUCUAAGAGGCUUGAUGCAUUCUUCCCCUUUGACCCUUGCUUGCUGAAAAGCUCUAACAGGUUUUGAAAACUUUCUCUGAUUCUUUUGCUCGUUCUCCCAAUGAAUCAUGUGUCUUAAAUGGUGGUCUUGGAUGAUAUUGAAGCUUUAUCUCCGGGAAUUUCAUCUACUGGUCGAUGGUGAGACCGACCUAUGACGAAGAUGAUGAGGAAGAUGUUGAGAUCAUUGUGAAUGUGGAUGAGGAGAGUGAUGAAGAGGAAGAGGGUGAUGUUGAUCAUGUCAUGGACAAGAUGUCCAUAACGCCUAAGCAUUAUUUCAUGAACGAGAUGGAAAGAGAGAAACUUCUGAAAAUGCCUUCCGUAAUCAGACCUUCCAUUAGUCCUCAAUCCUUAUGAGUUUGUUGGAUAGGGUCUCUAUAUGCAAUUUUGUAGCAAUAUUUAUCAGUUAUUCCAAUAGACUUAAGAAUUUAUAAUAUAUGGAAACAAUUGUAUUCUAAGAUUACAGUUCAAUAUAUUUGCAUUUGGUUAGAAGAUGUUUUUGAAUCAGGAAAUGUGUAAUCCAAUAGUAUUCUAAGAUGAAAAAGACUCGGUGAUAGUUUUCAGUUUAUGACAAGGACCAUAACAAAAUAUUCUGCAACAAGAUAUCAAGAAUGUACAUAUGAUUUAAGAAAUAAAAGAUGAGAAAUAAUAUCAUGAGCGUUACAAUAUCAUUCCAGCCUUUAACUAAAUUUACAAUUAUGAUUAGAAUUGCAAAUUUAUCAGGAGAAACACCAAAUAUCUAAGAUGUUACUACCUGUUAGCCAUGAUGCUACUAUAUACUAGUUGUUUAUUUUACGGUUAUUCGAGGACGAAUCUUCUCUAACCCGGAGAGAAUGAUGCAGAUAAGUAUUUGAAAUAUUUUCAAAUAUCUUAUUGUUUAUUUUAUUAGUUAUAUUAAUUUUAGAUAAUUAUCUUUAUUGUUUUAGCAUUUUACGGUUUUAUUAUAUAUAGCCGUCUAGGCUUAAGUUUGUAUUGAGUUGAUGAUUGAUUAUUAAUAAAAGUUAAGAGAUUUCUCUUUUGUUCCUUGUUUUCGGUAGAUCAUAGAUGAUCUCAACGAAUUUAAGAAGACAUUGAUCUUAGGUAUUCUUAGACUAAAUAAGAUCUUUGUGAUUAUUCUAGUUUUCUGGAUAUUCUAAGAAUCAACAGAUCUCUAAUUCUAUUUUAUAAAGUUUCCGUUACAUCAAAGCGAUAUAUGAACACCACACCUGGUUUAAUGUACCUCAAAUUAGAACAAAACAUAAACCGAACCGUACCGGAAGCUUCCAUGAUUGGAUGACUCACACAAAGCGAAAGGUGUAUUGCUAGAGACUAGGGCAACGGGCAGAGAUGGGGCCGAGUGAAACUAGUGGAGAUGAACAAAAUGAGAAGAUAUUCGGGCAACUAUUCAAGAUCUGCCCGUCAUUACCUACUAGUGGCUGUCUCUUCCGUUCGCCACUUGUCCUAAUGGCAAUUGCCUUGGGUUUAUUUUAUUACACAGCGUUACGUAUCGUCUCCCUCACUCCAUAUGUUUCGUAGUUUCCAGAGUUGACCUAUCCAGUGAGAGUGUCAAAACGGCAUGGUGUCUAUCAAUGGUGUAGAAGAACGCUCUGAAGUGUAAAGGUUAAUCUUUGAAACGGCAGGCUCUCUGUUUGUCAUUUCGUCUCUUUCUUUAAGAGCCAAAAGAAAAAGGAGAGACCUUUAUCGAUUUUGUGAGGGUAAGAUCCAGAGAUUGCAUCAGCUUCAACAUUUAUUAUAAAAUCCAGGUAAUUCUUUUGUUGUUUUCCCACCACGAUUUUUAAAAAAUUCUAGCUUUGGUGUUCUUGUACUGCUUCUUGGAUAAGCUUUUGCUGUGAAACUAGAGGUUAAGAUUGGUACCCUUUUUGGUUUUAGCUUGAUGGGUUGCGAUUAAAUUCUCAAGCUUUUAGCUUCCAAGAGAUUCAUUCGUGUACUGACUUUGUUGUGCUUUGUUGUUAUUGUUGUUGUUACAGUUUGUCUCAUGAGACAUGACUUCUUCAGUGCAUGAGCUCUCAGGUUUUGUUUAUUUCUUCCUAGUUCUCUUAUGCUCUGGUUUUGUUUCUUUUCGUGAUCUGAUUCUUGGUGGGGUAUGUUGAUUUGCCAGAUAACAAUGAAAGUCAUAAGAAGCAAGAACGUCCAGAUUCCCAAACUCCACCACCGGUUCCUUCAGGACCGUGUUCUGAAUCUAUAGAUACAAGCUCCGUCUACUCAGAGCCGAUGGUAAUUUCCCUCAUCCCUAUAAGUACUUGUGCCGGACUAAGUGAUAUUGCUUCUGCUAUGUGAUGUUUGUGUUUAGUCUUUUGUGUGAUACUGCUUCUGUUAUGUGAUGUUUGGUUUAGUCUUUUGUGUCAUUUUGCUUCCUGUUAUGUGCUGUUUGGUUUAGUUUCAAGUGAUUCUCCUGCCUUUGUCAUAUAACACAGUUAACAACAGAAGCAAUAUUUUUGAUACUUGCAAUGUCAAAAAUAAAUAAAAAUUGAGGUAAUAAUACAGACAGGAAUGUUUUGAUUUCUUUCGUCCUGUUGUAAACAUUGACUGCUUUACACUACAGCCCUCAGAUGCAAUUGAAUAGUACUGAAUCUCAAGCAUUGCUAAACUUUUCAACCUUUUCUAGCUGAGAAUUUUGAGAUGCUAAGGUGUUUGUUUUGAAGGCGCAUGGGCUCUACCCGUAUCCAGAUCCUUACUACAGAAGCGUCUUUGCACAUCAAGCGUAUCUUCCACAUCCAUUUCCUGGGGUAUGUAUUAGUACCCCUCAGCAUCGAUGUCUUGCCUUCUGAAGCUUUUGUUUUACACUUUUGUAAGUUUUUAUUUUUUGCAGGUUCAAAUGCAGUUAAUGGGAAUGCAUCAACAAGUGGUUCCAUUACAGUGUGAUGCAGUCGAGGAGCCUGUGUUUGUUAACGCAAAGCAAUACCACGGUAUACUCAGGCGUAGGCAAUCCAGGGCAAAACUUGAGGCUCGGAACAGAGCCAUCAAGUCAAAAAAGGUGAAGUAAAAUCUUUGAUAUGUUUGGUUGGUUGGUUACUUCCCUGAUAUGUGUCCUUAUCUACUUGUGUUUCAGCCAUAUAUGCAUGAGUCUCGGCAUUUGCAUGCGAUAAACCGUCCAAGGGGAUGUGGAGGCCGGUUUCUGAAUGCUAAGAAGAAGAAUGGAGACCGUAAGGAAGAGGAGGAGGAGGCAACCUCUGAUGAGAACACUUCAGAAGCAAGUUCUAGCAUCAGGUCUGAGAAAGCAGCCAUGGGUCCUAAUGUCAGUAGAUCUUGAGUAAAGGCUCCUGCACAACAACAAGUUUAGUUUUGUAUUUUGGGUGGAUGUUUGUAUCAGUGGAAUAUUGUUUUUAUUGUUUUGGACACUCUCUGUAGACUGUGUAUAGGUUUAUUAUUGCUUGGAGCAGAUAGGGUGGUGGUUUUGUUUGAGUGUUUAGAAAUAAAACUGAGCAAGGAAAUGAAUAGUGUGAUUGAAUGUAUUGUCUGUGCCAAAACAAAUAUUCUUUGGCAAUGAAUUGAUGUUUUGGAAAACUUAACCAAUGUUAUUAGCUUUGUUUACUAUGAUUUUUUACUUUGAUUGAGGAUUAAAUUUAGAGUUUGAAUGGUCACUAUGCACUAAUCCGUUGCAGGCACAAAAAGAAAAGGAAACAUGAGCGUUGCAGGUUUAGUUUUUGGUAUAUGCAAUAGUUUAUGGUUCCUAAGGAUUCGAAUUGUGUAGUGGGAGAAGUGCAGUCCAUAUGCACAUUCCUCCCGUAUUAAACUCACUAUUAAGGUUUUUUUUUUCUGUUUUUAAAAUGUAUUUGGUGAGAGAUUUACAUGUAAUUCAAUAUUUUUCCAUUUUUUCAUGUUGUUCUUCUGUUUUUUUUUUCUUGGUCAAUAAAUGAUUAUGUUAUAAAUAAUUAAUUUAAAAAUAUAUUUAUCUGAUUUUACAACUAUAAUAUUUAUAUUAAAUUUUACUUACAACUUAACAAUACAAAAUUAUUAUUGUCUUUUUAGUUCCCUUUUUAUUUUCAUCAUAUAAUUUUUACAUUUACUUAAACUAUUAUAUUUAUUUAAUGUGUGUUUUAAUUAUAAUAUGUAUUAUGUAAAUAUUUAUAAUAUUGUAUUUUAAAUAUGUAUACUAAUAGAAGAGAUAUAUAUUUCGUUAAUUGCUAUUGUUUUUCUUCAUAUUUUGAUUUUAAAAUCAUAAUAAUAUGGUUUAGUGCAAUAUUUAUUAUCAUAUAUAUAUAUAUAUAUAUUAUGUGCGUGUUUAGUUUUUUAAUUGUAAUUUAUAAUUUAAAUGUAUAACAUGUUUUAUUUAAGUUAUUUUUACUAUUUAAAACUGAAAUAAUUUGUUUGAUUUGUUUGAUCUGUCCCGUUUAAACUAUUUUUAUCAUUCAAGAUUCAAAAACUAAAAAACUAAACUUUCAAAAUUAGUUAAGAAAAUCUAAAAUUAAACACAAUACAAAUAUGGUAUUUUAAAAUCAAAAAUCAAAAACCAAAGAUUAAAUGAUUUUUAAAAUAAAAUUUACUUUUUCUAAAAUAAAAUUUACUAGUUUUGAGAACAAUUAUUUGAUUUAGUUGAUGGAAAUAAUAAAACUAGUUCAAGUAAGACUUUAAUAUUCAUUCUUAGAGCAAGGCUAACAGCGUUUUUUAUUGAGUAUUUAAGUAAUAAAAAUAAUUAAUCGUCAGAAAAAUUAGAAAAGAGAAGAAGAUAAAUUUUUUUUAAAGAGAUGUGUUUAGAACAUUUUACUACUCUUUGUCUCUUUGAUGUGUACCAGUCAUUUUCUCAUUCAUUGAUGUACUCGGUAAAAAACAAAGUUUAAUAAAAAAAAGUUCAUUAAAUACUAAUAUUAAUUUCAGAGAAUUUUUUUAAUAAAAAUCCACGGCUAUGAGGUUGCCCUUAAUUUGAAUCUUUUGUUCUACCAUAUCCGUUAGGUAGAAUUUUUACCUUAAUUUGUCACUUCACUGUGCACUAAGCAUAAUCAUUUCAUUUCCAGACAGUUUAUAUUUUUCAACUCAUGUUUUGUUGUCUUGCUCCUUUUCUAUGUAGUAUUUAUUUAUAAAUUCUGAUUUAAUCAGGUUUCUUAAAAGCAUUGCUUUGUUUUUCAGACAGCUUCUGACUGAAGGUUGGGUUGUUGGCUUAUUGCGCUUUUAGUUACUACUCUCUUUGAAGUUAGACAGUUGCAAUUUUAAAAGACUUUUAAACAAAACUAAAGUAAUCUAGUGUAAUGUAUACACAUGUGUUUCCUUCUCGAGUCUCUAUGUUAAGGAAAUUAUUGACAAUUACGAAAUGUUCUCUUAAAGUUAUAAAUAGAUAUAUCAAUUUGCUGACUAAUCAUGUCAAACUUAUGAUAUGAUUGAUGUUCUUUAGAAAAAAAUCCAAAAUAUGACAUAAAUAUGUAAUACUUCACUGAGAGAUUUGGCGUUGACAUAAACAAUUCAUAUAAACUAGUGAACCGUAAAAUUGAAAACCUUAAGAUACAUGACAUAAGAAUAUGUACUAUAUAAUUCUUUUUAAAAGAAAAGUAUUAGACAAAUGAAAAUAAAAUGUUUUUUUCUUAUCAGAGAAAAGAAAGCAAAUUAUGUUAAUUAACAGAAAAUAAAUAACAAGAAUAUACAAGAUAUUUUUGAAUUGUUUCCAAAUGUCGACUGCAUCAAAAGCUCUAAUGCUCUAUGCAUUCUAAGUUAGGUCCCAUACCCAUGCGAUUAAGUGGUGUCAAUGUGUGUGUAAAAAAGUAUGGUACAUAAGUUUGGUGUGGAUGAAGAUAUAUAACUCAAGAUUAUAGGAAUGAUUGCAAAGAAAGUUUCAUAUAGGUAAAGAGAGCACAGUAUAACGCAUUUUUCGUCAUAUUCUUUGGUUUUGAGGUGUGGGAUCUAUACGUACGAUGGAAGGUCUACUAUAUUAUUCCUUUAGAUACAUUUCUCUCAAUUCCUGUCUAAAUUCAUCAAGCAGCAUACCAUUUCGCACAAUCUGCAUCUCGAUUCUAUGUUAUAUUGAUAAAAACACAUUUUAGUGGCGCUAAGAACAUUCUGGUUUUGAUAUAUAUAUGUGAUGAUGCCAACUCGCAAUCUCUUUUUGUUAGAUUAGAGAGAGCAUAGUUAACACUAGUAGAAACUGAAACCAACUCGCAAUUUUUCUUGGUAUAUCAAUAUAUCAUUUACUGAGAUGUGAGAUCACACCAUUAAUCAGCGGUAGACUAGAUUCGUAGAUAUAAAUGCAUGGCUAUGUGAUUAUUAUGAGUCUAUGAGGGUUCCAUUAUUUGAUUGAUAGAAUAUUAAAAGCUUCUGACUAACGGAUCCAUUAUUUGAUGGAAACGAUCCUCUUCUAAUCUUCUUCGUGGUUCUUCAAAUCAAAUUCGAUGAUGUCAUAUGACGUAAUGGAGAAAUUAUAUUUGUGCUACGUCUUUUGUAAGCUCAAUUGUUAACCUCAUGGCGAGUUAUAUCCACAACCUUUAAUCCCACUUAUAGUUGUAUGUAUUUUUUUUGGAUCAACUUAUAGUUGUAUGUAUAUAUGGCGAAUAUGAUGGAUAUUAUAUUAUGGAUACAAUAUAUGCAUGAGCAGCCUAUCAAACUUGGAGACUUCCUUUCUAUCCAUGCCUGACUUUACACCUCUAUCAUGCCCAUGCAUGGGUCCCUCUCUCCACCUCUCUCUCUCCGAACACAAUAGGAACAGGAGGGAGAGAAAGAUGUGAGAUUGAAGCAAAGCAAGAAGAACACAAUUGUGACUUGUGUCAAAAACAGGGCUUUUCAUUUGACUUUUUUUCAUUAACUUUCAUUUCAUUCCAUAGAGUGGUGUAAAAAGACAUGUGCUUUUCCUUUCCACUAUGUGAUUUCAAUAUCAUUGCUGCGUCGAUUUCCCAUUUAUGGAGCAAACUCAUGUUUUGUUUUCCGUUUACUUUGUAUUGUAUAUAUGGAGUUCAUAAUAAAGCCUUAUUAGCUAUAUAUUAUUAUGAAUGCUUUAUUGUUGUUAAUUAUCUAGUUUAUAAGCUACAUUACAAGUUACUUAUAUAUAAAGUUUUGAUAAGCUAUUAUUGAUGCAUUGUUGUUGUAUAUAAUUUUAUAAACUAUAUAACAAUAAUUCUAACGGAAUAAGUUGAUACGUGCUAAUUUACAGUUAACUAAAAACGUCAUUUAUUAUUAUAGAGAUUUAUUUUAGUAUUAUGUAAACCAAUUUUUGAAGUUACGUACAAAUCCAUGUAAAUCUUGUAGUGAUAUAAUGCAAAAGUAGUGUUCAGCGCAAAUUGAUCUCUGAUUUCGAUCCAACUCUGACCAACCAUUAUAUACUUUGCAUCGUACUUAUUAAGAAUAUAAUGAGAUUAAUUAAGUAUUAACUAUUAACAUCUGAAUCAGAGAAGAUGAAGAUGGAGAAACAAGAUUGAGCUGAGAUGGUGAAUCGAGGAAGAAGAUGAAAAUAGAAGUUUGUUAUUCCUCAUAAUCAUAAAAUGUACAUGUGUAUUCAAUAUAUAUAUGCACGGUUAAGCUAAAGGAACCUUAACCAAUACAAACCAGUUACUAAACCGGAAUAUAUACUAAUACGCCCCUCUCAAGUCUUUAUCAUUGGAGCUUGUGGAAGAUAAAGACUUGACAAUGACAAACGAGAGAGAAAAGAGUUGAAGGGACCCGGAUGCAACGGUUUGGUGAGGAUGUCUACUAACUGAUUGCCAGUAGUGACAUGAAAAGUCUUCAACUUGCCGGCUUUGAGCUGAUCACGAACAGUAUGACAAUCGAUCUCAAUAUGCUUAGUACGUUCGUGAAAGACCGGGUUGUUGGCAAUGUGAAGCGCUGACUUGUUGUCACAAUACAACUUAGCUGGACCCGUGACUGAGACAUGAAGAUCACGAAGCAACUGUUGAAUCCAAAUCAAUUCACAAGUUGCCAAAGCAAGACUGCGAUACUCAGCCUCUGUACUACUUCGACUCACCACAGCUUGCUUCUUUGACUUCCAAGAUAUCAAUGAGGUACCAAGAUAAACGCAAAAGCCAGUAAUGGAGCGACGAGACUCUUUGCAAGUAGUCCAGUCAGCAUCAGCAAAGGCGUUUAAACACAGCUCAGAGGAAGAUGAAUACAUCAAACCUUGUCCCGGGUUGUUCUUGAGAUACCGUAAGACCUUAUGCGCUGCUUGUAGAUGUAUAUCAGUCGGUGCAGAUAAGAACUGACUCAGCUGAUGCACCGCAAAUGUAAUAUCAGGUCUCGUGAUGGUUAGAUACAAGAGACGACCAAUAAGUUCUCUAUAGACCUUAGCAUCAACAAGUGGUUUGCCCAAAUCCUUUGUAAGAUGCAGAGUAGGAUCCAUUGGAAUGGAACUUGGCUUACAGCCUAGAAGACCAGAAUCUUCCAACAAAUUCAACGUAUACUUUCGUUGACAAACCGAGAUACCUUCAGCAGAUCGUGCUAUCUCAAGACCAAGAAAGAAACGAGCUUGUCCAAGAUCUUUUAUCUUGAAUUCAGACCGAAGAAGUACUUGUAAAGAAGCCACUGCAGCGUUAUCAUUGCUAGCUAUCAGUAUGUCAUCCACAUAAACCAAGACAGCAACAAAAGAGGAUGAAGUAUGCUUCACAAAGAGCGUGUUAUCUGCAGGAGACUGAAUGUAGUUAGCACCCAAUAAGACUGAAGAGAAUCGCUUAUACCACUGGCGAGAAGCUUGUUUCAAGCCAUAUAAAGACUUCCUGAGGCGACAAACAGGAUUUGGAGGAAGUUCUACACCAGCAGGAGGAGUAUAACCCUGAGGUAAGCGCAUAUAUAUCUCUUCAUCAAGAUCUCCAUGUAGAAAAGCAUUUGAAACAUCCAUCUGAUUCAAGCUCCAGCCAUUGAUCGCAGCAAGACUCAGAAGAAGCUUGACACUUGUUAACUUCGCUACAGGCGAGAAGGUAUCAAGAUAAUCAAUACCUUCUUGUUGUGUAAAGCCCUGAGCCACCAGACGACCCUUAUUACGUUCCACUGUCCCAUCAGCAUUGUAUUUGAUAGUAAAGAUCCAUCGACAACCCACUACAUUCUUACCAACAGGUAAAGAAACAAUAUCCCAUGUUCUGUUUUGCUCCAUAGCCUCAAGUUCCACAUUCACAGUCUUCUUCCACUUAUCAGAUUUCAUGGCCUGUUGAAACGUUUUAGGUUCUGUUUCCAUCGAAUAAGAAUGAACAUCAGCUUGAAAAACAGGAUUAAAACGAUCAUAAGAGACCACAGAUGAUAAGGGAUAAGGUGUUUUGAAUGAUGGUGGAAAUGAAGGAGAAGUAACAGAUGAAAAAGGAAUAAGGCAACAAAGGUGUGGAGGUAAAGUAAAAGAAGGACGAGAUAGGCGAGCUGAAAGUGGAGUAUUAGAAAGAAGGGAAGCACAAUGAUACUGAGACAGAUAAGUAGGAGCUUUAGUAGUUCGUUUUGGCCUAGAUACAUUCUCAGGUUCUAUACGAACAUCUUCUACUACAUUCCUAUCAGUGCUAGCAUUGUUAUGAGUGUGUGAACGUGUAGCAGUAGGCAUAGAAGUGGAACAAUCACCAUCCGUCAUGAUAGGCAUUGACUCUACAAAGUGUAAAGGUGCAGGCAUUGGUAAAAUUUUAUUAGGAAACAUAUCAACAGAUUUCGAUAAGAGUUCAGACGUUUUAAAAGGAAAAACUUUCUCAUGGAAUACGACAUUUCGAGAAAUCUGAACAACAUGAGACUCCAAAUCUAGAACUUUAUAUCCCUUAUAUCCUGAUGGAUAACCAAGAAACACACAAGGCACUGCACGAGGUGAAAAUUUUGUUCGAUCUAUAGCAUGAGUAGAAGCAAAGCACAAACAACCAAAGUUUCUUAACAAAGAAUAAUCUGGAACUUUCUUGAGUAAUUUUUCAAAAGGAGAUUUGUUAUCUAACAAUGGAGAAGGCAUACGAUUGAUCAAGAACACUGCAGUCAUCACACAAUCAGACCAAUAUUCCAAGGGCACAUUUGAUUGAAAUAGCAAAGAGCGAGCUAUAUUUAACAAGUGUUGGUGUUUUCUCUUAACUACUGAAUUUUGUUGAGGAGUAUAAGCACAGGAGAAGUAAUGAAACAUACCAAGUGUUUUAAUGAGAUCAGUAAAGGCCAAUUCAGGUGCAUUAUCAGUUCUGAUUGCUUUGACUUUCAUGUUGUAUUGAGUUGAAAUAUGUUUAAGAAACAAUGGAAAAAUAACCGAAACCUCUCCUUUAUUCUUUAACAUAUAGAUCUAUGUUACUCUAGUACAAUCAUCAACCAAUGUAAGGAAAUAUCUAUAACCUUCUACUGAUUGAACACUAAAUGGCCCCCAUAUGUCUAAAUGAACCAAAUCAAAAGGAGAUUGAGAAAGCGUAUUAUGAGAAACAUACGCAAGACGUCGUUGUUUUGAUAAUGGACAUAUUGUGCAAGGAGUAUUAUCAGACGCUACAUGUGUAAAUGCUGGUAAACGUGAAGAUAGUUUUUGCAAGAUAGUAGUGGAAGGAUGCCCCAAACGUUGAUGCCACAAGUUGCUAUCAGCUGACACAGAACCACAGAACACAGCACUGCGAGACGAUGCAUGACUAGUAGUAUCAAGAAUGUAAAGAUUGUUGUAUAAGCUACCCUUCCCAAUCAUCAAGCCCCGAGAAAGUUCCUGGAUUAAGCAACCAUUAGGAAAGAAGUGAGCAGCACAAACCAAUGUUUUUAUUAGACUACUCACGCUUAUCAAGUUGAAUCGAAAAUCAGGAACAAGCAACACAUCAUAGAGUAUCAAAGAAGGACUAAUCUUAAUUGUGCCUGUGUGUGUAAGAGGAACUUUAAGACCAUUAGGAAGAGUUACUGUAAAAGAAGACACAUGUGUAAAACUAUCAAACAUAUCUAGAGCAGAACAAACAUGACUAGAAGCUCCACUAUCUAUUAUCCAAGCAUCAUGUGGAAGUAGGGAAGGUAGAGUUGAAAGGCAAUGAUUUUGAUAUAAAAGGUUGUGAUUUUGAAAUGUAAGAUUGAUAGAAGGAAAGGGUACUGUACCGGAUGAUGAAUGAGUACUCAUCAGACCAUGUUCUGUAAUCGUGGCUUGUGGAAUUGAAGAUGAUGAGGAAAGAGCUUGAGGCUCUGAAACUCGAACAUGAGCAUUGAACUGAGAGAUCAAACUCUGUAUCUGUUGAGGAGUGUAGCUCUGUAGAUUGAGAUCCAUGCCACCACUAGUCAAAUGAGGAGUGACUGGCGGUAAAGAAUAGUAGCGUGAAUCUGGAUCAGCACACACAUUCGCAACUGCAUUAGCCAUCUGAGAAGAAGUUGGAACCAAGCUUUGAUU